This is a long non-coding RNA of Rhipicephalus microplus (southern cattle tick), 483 nucleotides long. Lineage: Eukaryota; Metazoa; Arthropoda; Arachnida; Ixodida; Ixodidae. The record is from RefSeq and is a predicted model, not a curated record.
AGAGAAGCCGUUGGAAUGUUGGACACUUCAGACGCUGGCCACCAAAAACAGUGUGAACCUCGGUGCUAAGGGCUUGAAUGCCACUGGGUUGUAGUGCCACCAACAGCAAGGGGAUCGCGUCGUGAUGGAAGAAGGGGAUGCGCGGGAUCACGUGCGAUCCAGCAGCAAUACUGGCGCGAGGGGGACAGAAAAUAAAGAAAACAUUGGUUGUGUGAAAACCUGUCGAGUCUUUUUCUCACAUGUGCUACACAAGGUAUACUAACGUUCUCCUCAUUGUGGACAUGUACUGUGAUAGGGACAGCAGCUGCCUUUGUGUAGUAUUUCUGAAUGCUUUGUUGUUGUUACUAACACAAAGCUGUCACAUAAUUUAACCUUUUACUUCACUAAAAUUAUAAAUGAACUGUAAUAAUUACAAGAGCAAGCCUAAAAAUGUUGAUACUUCAUGUUACUUUGCCUGAAAAAUGUUAGUUUUUGAAGCAUGAA